This 766-nucleotide ribosomal RNA is filed under the name uncultured Russula. Its description in RNAcentral is "partial 28S ribosomal RNA". It matches the Rfam family "Eukaryotic large subunit ribosomal RNA", at positions 216 to 962 of the family's 3401-position model. Lineage: Eukaryota; Fungi; Basidiomycota; Agaricomycetes; Russulales; Russulaceae. The record is from RNAcentral.
GAAUCCCGUCUUUGGCACGGAUGUACCGGGGCUUUUGUGAUGCGCUCUCGAAGAGUCGAGUUGUUUGGGAAUGCAGCUCAAAAUGGGUGGUGAACUCCAUCUAAAGCUAAAUAUUGGCGAGAGACCGAUAGCGAACAAGUACCGUGAGGGAAAGAUGAAAAGCACUUUGGAAAGAGAGUGAAACAGUACGUGAAAUUGUUGAAAGGGAAACGCUUGAAGUCAGUCGCGUCGACCGAGACUCAGCCUCGCCUCGGCUUGGUGUACUUCUCGGCUGACGGGUCAGCAUCAAUUUUGCCCCUUGGAUAAUGGCGAGGGAAAUGUGACACCUUUGCGGUGUGUUAUAGUCUCUCGUCGCAUGCAAGGGUCGGGAUUGAGGAACUCAGCACGCGCCUUUGGGCGUCGGGGCUUUGCCCACGAUACGUGCUUAGGAUGCUGGCGUAAUGGCUUUAAACGACCCGUCUUGAAACACGGACCAAGGAGUCUAACAUGCCUGCGAGUGUUCGGGUGGAAAACCCGUGCGCGCAAUGAAAGUGAAAGUUGGGACCUCUGUCGUGGAGGGCACCGACGCCCGGACCAGACCUUCUGUGACGGUUCUGCGGUAGAGCAUGUAUGUUAGGACCCGAAAGAUGGUGAACCAUGCCUGAAUAGGGUGAAGCCAGAGGAAACUCUGGUGGAGGCUCGUAGCGAUUCUGACGUGCAAAUCGAUCGUCAAAUUUGGGUAUAGGGGCGAAAGACUAAUCGAACCAUCUAGUAGCUGGUUCCUGCC